This is a long non-coding RNA of Lacerta agilis (Sand lizard), 485 nucleotides long. RefSeq lists it as uncharacterized. NCBI's taxonomy places the organism in Eukaryota, Metazoa, Chordata, Lepidosauria, Squamata, Lacertidae. The record is from RefSeq and is a predicted model, not a curated record. The transcript is spliced from 2 exons.
GGCAGUCAAGCGGGCAUGCGCGUAAAACGUUCCUAGUCGUUUGCUUAUUACUGAGCAUGCGCGAGCUGACUGGCGUUUUAAUUCUCCUCCCAGUCAUCAGGCGGUGCUUGUUACCUUGUUGACGGAGGCGUGUUCCCGCAGUGCCAGAUCCCAGAAGCGGCAUCCUAUCUGGUUGCCACACUGACCCACUAUGAGACCUGAGGAUAGGAAGUAUAUUGCUGACCUUCACCCUUACCCCAGUGCAGAGGGUGAAAUGAAGCAGAAGCAAAGCUUGAUUGCAUACACAAGUUGAUUGGAAGAGACAGCCUUGACCUUUCAUGCUAUUCCCCUAAAUAAUCCCACCAAAUAAAUGCAUUAACUCUGUUCUACCUGUAUACAGGCUCUGUAUCUUGUACAGAAGCAUGAGAAUGGAUGUUCUUGUGUUUCCCCCCAUAACAGUCAAGUGUCUCUAAGUUUCAAAUAAAUGGGUGAAGCUUCUUUGCUCU